GACGAACGCUGGCGGCGUGCCUAAUACAUGCAAGUAGAACGCAGUUGCGAACGGGUGAGUAACGCGUAGGUAACUGCCUCAUAGCGGGGGAUAACUAUUGGAAACGAUAGCUAAUACCGCAUACUGUGAGAUGGACCUGCGUUGUAUUAGCUAGUUGGUGAGGUAAAGGCUCACCAAGGCGACGAUACAUAGCCGACCUGAGAGGGUGAUCGGCCACACUGGGACUGAGACACGGCCCAGACUCCUACGGGAGGCAGCAGUGGGGAAUAUUGGACAAUGGGCGAAAGCCUGAUCCAGCCAUGCCGCGUGUGUGAAGAAGGUCUUCGGAUUGUAAAGCACUUUAAGUUGGGAGGCGUUACCAACAGAAUAAGCACCGGCUAACUUCGUGCCAGCAGCCGCGGUAAUUC
Molecule: ribosomal RNA, 407 nt
Filed under: uncultured bacterium
Lineage: Bacteria
Description: partial 16S ribosomal RNA
Rfam family: Bacterial small subunit ribosomal RNA
Source: RNAcentral